Molecule: RNA transcript, 2337 nt
Organism: Tarenaya hassleriana
Lineage: Eukaryota; Viridiplantae; Streptophyta; Magnoliopsida; Brassicales; Cleomaceae
Gene name: peptidyl-prolyl cis-trans isomerase E-like
Exons: 6
Source: RefSeq, a predicted model, not a curated record
GAAAGCCCACAGAGAGGGAGGAAGAAAGAGAGACGCGCGAAGCUCUCGACGAUGGCGGCGGCUCAGCAGCAGGCGUUGCAGAAGAACACGUUGUACGUCGGAGGUCUCGCGGAGGAAGUAAACGAAUCGAUCCUUCACGCUGCGUUCAUACCUUUCGGUGACAUAAAGGACGUAAAGACGCCAUUGGACCAAGCGACGCAGAAGCACAGAUCCUUCGGCUUCGUCACCUUCCUCGAGAGAGAAGACGCUGCAGCCGCCAUGGACAAUAUGGACGGGGCUGAGCUCUAUGGCCGUGUUCUCACCGUCAAUUAUGCCCUCCCCGAGAAAAUCAAGGGUGGUGAACAGGGUUGGGCCGCUCAUCCACUUUGGGCGGACGCAGAUACGUGGUUUGAAAGGCAGCAACAAGAACAGGAAAUGCAGAGGAUCCAAGCCGAGAACAAGGCCGCGAUGCAGGCUGCCGAGGAGUUGCACAGGAAGAAGCUGGCACAAGAGCGAGAAGGCGAGAAAGAAGACGAACUAGACAUCAAGGAUAAUCCUAUGGCCAUAGCCGAGUGACAGUAACCAUCCUAGAAGCUGGAUCCUGUUCUUCAACCAGAUACACUUGCAUUGCAACACGUCAAUCUCUCUGACCUGACCGCCAUGCAAAGUCCACGAUUUCAGUUGCAUCAUUCAGUUCAAAAUCGACCAAAGAACUUAACUUUACAGCAAUCGGAGUCGAACCCAAAUCUCAAAAUCUCAUCUUGACGGCUAAUUGAUCACGAUCGGGAAGAACUUAGAUCAAGAGAUGGUGGAAAAGAGGGAUAGAAGGAAAGAUCGUGGCGGUGACGUGUGGGAUGGGGUUGGCCGGAGCCGCCCUCUGCCUUGAGCUGCUCCGCCGUGGGGCCCUCCAUGUCCGCUCCUUCGACCGCCGCUCCUCCUCCCCCUGGUCCCACCGUCUCAGAGAUUCCGGUGUUCAUUGUAUACAGGCUAUAUAUAUAUAUAUAUAGUACUAAUUCUACUCAAAAUCAGACGGAAAAUUCUCUGAAACCGCUAAUAUAUAAAAAUAUACUUACAAAACGCUCCAAAGGAUGUUACGAAAUCGUAAUUGCGAAUGCAUGCAUGCCUAUUUCUGUGUAUUUGUGUCUGAAUAGACUUUAUGUGUGUAAUGAAGAGUUAACCGUUAAGUUAGUUAUAUGUUUUUUAAACUGUGAUAUGUAUCAGGAAACGUAGUUUGUAGAGAAGAGGUGGCGGCAAGGAAUUGCUUCGGAAGCCUCGGAUCCACGAGGUUAACAUCGAAGGAACUCGUAAUGUCGUGGAAUCUUGCGUGAACCACGGGAUCACGAGACUCGUGUUCUUGAGCACGAACGGCGUUGUUUUCGGGGGGAGGGAGAUUGAAAACGGAGACGAAACUCUGCCGUAUUUAGCGUCGGAUGAAUACAUCGAUCCUUACAGUCGGAGUAAAUCUGAGGCUGAACGGUCGUCCUGUUGAAAGAUGCGGAGAAUUGCUUUGUACUUGUGUGAUACGAUCCGCCGUUUUGUACGGGCCGGGCGAAGAGAGGCAUCUUCCGAGGAUAAUCUCUAAUGCAAGACUAGGUCUACUGCUUUUCAAAAUCGGCGAUCCGGACAUAAAAACCAUUGGAUUUAGUACAGAAUCUCGUGCAUGCUCUCACAUUAGCGAGCGUGGCUCUACUCUCCGAGGAUUCAAGAGCUGCGGGAAAUGCAUACUAUAUCUCGGAUGGAUGUUCGAGGUCGUGUACGCUUCCAUAUAUACGUUACUGAACCAACGAUGGAUUCCGCAACCAUUAAUCCUCCCCGCCGAGAUCUAUAAGGUCGGAGUGACCCAUCACUACUCGAUCCGCAAAGCCCAGAAAGAACUCGGCUACUUGCCCGAAACAACACCCGAAGAAGCUAUGGCCGAGACGAUAUCUUAUUUUCGGGACAAAAAGAGGCGAGAAGUAGAGGUGCCGAGCAUUUACGCGUGGAUAUUCUGUCUUAUCGGAUUGCCCGGCAUCUUGGCCGUGGCAUGGCUACCCGACAUAGGUCCUAUCCCAUUUUUCCGAGCCGCCUCGUUGUUUUUUUAUCGGUCCAUGUUCGUGUUGCGGGUAAUGUCGAUAUUUUUCGUGUCCGCGCACAUCGCGGAAGGCGUUUACGCGUGGUUUUUGGCUCGGAGAGUGGAUCCGAAGAAUGCGAAGACGUGGUUUUGGCAGACGCUUGUUCUUGCCACUUUCUCGCUUCGUUUCCUGUGGAGAAGAGCCAAAGAGAGGAAACAACGAUAAAGAAAAAGUCUCUUGAUGAAAAAAUGGGUAAAUUCUGUAAGUAAUAAAAACACUUUUGGUAAUGGAACGUUUGUUACUGUUA